GACGAACGCUGGCGGCGUGCUUAACACAUGCAAGUCGAACGGAAAGGCCCUGCUUUUGUGGGGUGCUCGAGUGGCGAACGGGUGAGUAACACGUGAGUAACCUGCCCUUGACUUUGGGAUAACUUCAGGAAGCUGGGGCUAAUACCGGAUAGGAGCUCCUGCUGCAUGGUGGGGGUUGGAAAGUUUCGGCGGUUGGGGAUGGACUCGCGGCUUAUCAGCUUGUUGGUGGGGUAGUGGCUUACCAAGGCUUUGACGGGUAGCCGGCCUGAGAGGGUGACCGGCCACAUUGGGACUGAGAUACGGCCCAGACUCCUACGGGAGGCAGCAGUGGGGAAUAUUGCACAAUGGGCGGAAGCCUGAUGCAGCAACGCCGCGUGCGGGAUGACGGCCUUCGGGUUGUAAACCGCUUUCGCCUGUGACGAAGCGUGAGUGACGGUAAUGGGUAAAGAAGCACCAGCUAACUACGUG
RNAcentral lists this ribosomal RNA (468 nucleotides) under uncultured bacterium. RNAcentral's name for it is "partial 16S ribosomal RNA". It matches the Rfam family "Bacterial small subunit ribosomal RNA", at positions 28 to 507 of the family's 1533-position model. The record is from RNAcentral.